UGGAUCUUGGAUUGACUGAGCGGCGGACGGGUGAGUAACGCGUGGAUAACCUGCCUCACACAGGGGGAUAACAGUUAGAAAUGACUGCUAAUACCGCAUAAGCGCACGGCAUCGCAUGAUGCAGUGUGAAAAACUCCGGUGGUGUGAGAUGGAUCCGCGUCUGAUUAGCCAGUUGGCGGGGUAACGGCCCACCAAAGCGACGAUCAGUAGCCGGCCUGAGAGGGUGAACGGCCACAUUGGGACUGAGACACGGCCCAAACUCC
RNAcentral lists this ribosomal RNA (263 nucleotides) under uncultured Lachnospiraceae bacterium. RNAcentral describes it as "partial 16S ribosomal RNA". It matches the Rfam family "Bacterial small subunit ribosomal RNA", at positions 76 to 339 of the family's 1533-position model. Lineage: Bacteria; Bacillati; Bacillota; Clostridia; Lachnospirales; Lachnospiraceae. The record is from RNAcentral.